RNAcentral lists this long non-coding RNA (678 nucleotides) under Homo sapiens (human). RNAcentral's name for it is "non-protein coding lnc-SH3BGRL-5:18". Lineage: Eukaryota; Metazoa; Chordata; Mammalia; Primates; Hominidae. The record is from RNAcentral.
CCUGGGUUGAUCUUGAGGAACUUAAGAGACGGUGUUUUGACUCGACUCCUUUCCCCUUUUUCCUCCCGCUGAGAUCCAGACCUUCUUAGAGAGAACACAGCCAGUGGAGAGUCACUCUAUGGCAGGAAAUAUUCUGUAUUGCCUUACAGGCAGAACUUGCUGAAACUCCAACCUCUGGAAAUUACUGGAACCCUGCAUUCUAGAACUUGCUGGAAACCCACCCUCUGGAAUUGGCCUGCUAGAGUGCCUGAGAAGGAUGUUCAUAGGGAAAUGUUUCAGCAGAGGAACUCUACUACAAAAACCACAAGAGGGAGGGUGCCAGGGGAAGUGGCCUGGUGCUAUUGAAACUGCAACACAGAAGCCAGCCACUGGAGAGAGCUGCACAAGCUGCAGGAACACCCUACCCAGUAAGCCGGCCAGAAGGAGGGAGCAAAACCUUUUCUCUCUGCAACAUCUUUCCAGUUUCCUCUACUGGAAAAGCUUCAUUGCCAGCUGACAAAAGGAAAAAUACUUAAAUGGAUCAGAUCCAUUUUCACAGAGCAGUCAAUAAUGGUGAAUUUGGAGAUGAUAAGCAACAAAUUGAUGAACUGGCACAACUUCCCUGCUACUUUCUUGAUUGUAAUGCCUAGAUAGGGAAUAGGAAAGUUAUUGAAAUGUAUGUGUUCCCAUGAAAUGUGU